GAACUUCCAUAUGGCUGGGAGAAAAUAGAUGACCCUAUUUAUGGCAGUUACUAUGUUGACCACAUUAACAGAAGGACACAGUUUGAGAACCCCGUCCUAGAGGCCAAACGAAGGAUGCAACAGCAACAGCAAAUGCAAAGUCAAGGUCUAUCGGCGCUGCCAUUGCCCACAAUAUAUAGAGAAAAGCCUCCAUUCACGAGGGACGCCACAC
Sinocyclocheilus rhinocerous is the source of this 211-nucleotide long non-coding RNA. RefSeq lists it as uncharacterized. The record is from RefSeq and is a predicted model, not a curated record. NCBI's taxonomy places the organism in Eukaryota, Metazoa, Chordata, Actinopteri, Cypriniformes, Cyprinidae. The transcript has 3 exons.